UUGUGAUUCCCGGAAAGAAUCUAAGUCUGGGGGAAUAGCUGUUUACAACAAAGGAGGAAGGAUUAUGCAACAACAUAUGGCAAGAAGAAGUGACUGAAAAUUGCGGUCAUCAACAGGUCCUUAUAUCUCUUGCGGUUUUGCAUAUUAUCUUGCAUCCUCCAUAUCUUCAGGUAACCCAAAACACUUUAACUCCACCACUUAAACAGCUCUUUAAUGCCAAACGCCGUCUACCC
RNAcentral lists this long non-coding RNA (233 nucleotides) under Eutrema salsugineum. RNAcentral's name for it is "long non-coding RNA (ESAL_LNC000934)". Lineage: Eukaryota; Viridiplantae; Streptophyta; Magnoliopsida; Brassicales; Brassicaceae. The record is from RNAcentral.